RNAcentral lists this non-coding RNA (24 nucleotides) under Arabidopsis thaliana (thale cress). Lineage: Eukaryota; Viridiplantae; Streptophyta; Magnoliopsida; Brassicales; Brassicaceae. The record is from RNAcentral.
CCAAAUAGACUUAGUGAGGUGUAU